RNAcentral lists this ribosomal RNA (563 nucleotides) under uncultured bacterium. RNAcentral describes it as "bacterial SSU rRNA". It matches the Rfam family "Bacterial small subunit ribosomal RNA", at positions 338 to 916 of the family's 1533-position model. The record is from RNAcentral.
CCUACGGGAGGCAGCAGUGAGGAAUCUUCCACAAUGGACGAAAGUCUGAUGGAGCAACGCCGCGUGCAGGAUGACGGCUUUCGGGUUGUAAACUGCUUUUAUAUGGGAAGAUUAUGACGGUACCAUAUGAAUAAGGACCGGCUAACUACGUGCCAGCAGCCGCGGUAAUACGUAGGGUCCAAGCGUUAUCCGGAGUUACUGGGCGUAAAGCGUACGUAGGCGGCGCGUUAAGUGCAACGCGAAAUCUUGCGGCUCAACCGUAUAGACUGCGAGGCAUACUGGCGUGCUUGAGGAUGGCAGAGGCCAGUGGAAUUUGUAGUGUAGCAGUGAAAUGCGUAGAUAUUACAAGGAACACCAAUGGCGAAGGCAGCUUGCUGGGCCAUUUCUGACGCUGAGGUACGAAAGCGUGGGGAGCGAACAGGAUUAGAUACCCUGGUAGUCCACGCCGUAAACGAUGCACACUAUUAGUAUGGGGUAUCGACCCCCUGUGCUGAGAAGCUAACGCGAUAAGUGUGCCGCCUGGGGAGUACGAGCGCAAGCUUAAAACUCAAAGGAAUUGACGG